GAGUUUGAUCUUGGCUCAGAUUGAACGCUGGCGGCAGGCCUAACACAUGCAAGUCGGGCGGUAGAGAGACGCUUGCUUCUCUUGAGAGCGGCGGACGGGUGAGUAAUGCCUAGGAAUCUGCCUGGUAGUGGGGGAUAACGCUCGGAAACGGACGCUAAUACCGCAUACGUCCUACGGGAGAAAGCAGGGGACCUUCGGGCCUUGCGCUAUCAGAUGAGCCUAGGUCGGAUUAGCUAGUUGGUGAGGUAAUGGCUCACCAAGGCGACGAUCCGUAACUGGUCUGAGAGGAUGAUCAGUCACACUGGAACUGAGACACGGUCCAGACUCCUACGGGAGGCAGCAGUGGGGAAUAUUGGACAAUGGGCGAAAGCCUGAUCCAGCCAUGCCGCGUGUGUGAAGAAGGUCUUCGGAUUGUAAAGCACUUUAAGUUGGGAGGAAGGGCAGUAAAUUAAUACUUUGCUGUUUUGACGUUACCGACAGAAUAAGCACCGGCUAACUCUGUGCCAGCCGCCGACCG
This 517-nucleotide ribosomal RNA is filed under the name uncultured bacterium. Its description in RNAcentral is "bacterial SSU rRNA". It matches the Rfam family "Bacterial small subunit ribosomal RNA", at positions 9 to 520 of the family's 1533-position model. The record is from RNAcentral.